RNAcentral lists this long non-coding RNA (1487 nucleotides) under Panax ginseng (ginseng). RNAcentral describes it as "long non-coding RNA (PGIN_LNC008810)". Lineage: Eukaryota; Viridiplantae; Streptophyta; Magnoliopsida; Apiales; Araliaceae. The record is from RNAcentral.
UUUUUUUUCCUUCUCUUUUUUAAAUCUGUAAAUCAACCAGCUAAAAUCUCAGAUUCUCAAUAUUGAUAAACAUAUAAAGAAUAAUUGGUUGAACUUAAUACAUUUUGAAAAAGAAAUAUUAAAGAUAACACUGCUAAAGAAAAUGUCAAUGUUGCUUUCUCUAAAUGACAUUCACAUUCCUCACUCCUCACUGCAUUUGCUCGGUAAAAUAAGCUCCAAAACAUGCUUGCAAUCCCAUCUUCUCAGUCCAAGAAUGGCAUGACAUCCUGUGCAGAAAGAUUCAUAAAUUUGUCAUUAUAUAUGGUAGAACUGAAACUAUAAAACUAAUAAAAGUGUAUGUCUUGUGGCAGAGCAAAGCUAGUGUUAGUAUACACUAGUAACACUGUAUAUUUGUUACAAUAUUACAAACUAAAAUAAUAUUAAAUUCUUUCAUUCAAUUUCCAAUUAUCUGCUAAUGCUCUGCUCGUGCAGACCCUUUCAUUCAACUUCCAAUUGCUUCACAAAUUAUAAGAUAAUCUGAUGUCAUAUAUAUAGUGCAACAUAUAAGACUUAACAAAUUAUAACUCAUGAUGGAUUUCAAGCAUAAUGAGAUGAUGCACUUCACAGAAAUUAGACCAUUUCUAACCCAAAUCAGUGAAAGCCCCAAUCAAACAAAAUAUAAAAGGGUACAAAAUAUCUCAUGAAGCUAUUUGUGGUUCGAUGAUAAAACGGGAGACAAGAAAAGGUCACCAUCAAAACCAAAAUCCCAUUUUGUUCAUUAUCCAUUUUUCCUUUUUCCUUCAUCAACAUAAAGAGCUUCAUAAAGCUACUUCAUAUAUCAAAAACAAGAAAUCCAUGUUUCACAAAAAUCCCAAAAAGGAGCAAAUUGUUCAACUCCAAAUUUCUAUAAAUUAACAAAAUUACAUAAAUAAAAAUAAGGGUGUGGCUCUGACCGAAAUUUAAAAAAUAGGCAGUCUUUCAAUUUCAAAGCUAGAAAACCUGAAACUCAAGAAGAUCAGAAAUGUCUGGACACGGAUAUAUUUUUUUUUAUAUAUAUAUAUAUAUAUAUACAUAUAUAUAUAUAUAUAUAUAUAUAUAUAUAUAUAAAUGUAUUUAGUUAUUAUGUAAGUAGAAUCAGUCUUUCUCUACCUUGAGGAUGAUUUAACGGAAAACAACAAAAAAUUACCUAGAUUCCAGAGAGAAAUUGGUCUCACAGAAUGAAGAUUGGGAUUUGGGACGAAGAGAAGAACCUAUCCAGUCGGCGUCGUCGAUCGAUCGAACUUCGAAGUGUGGAAGACUAGAGUGAAGACUGAAGAGUCUGGAGGUGGGGGUCGUGGACUCGUGGGGCUGUAUACCUGUAUCUCUCAAAAUCACUCUCAGAUCUAGAUCGAGCAAGAGCCUUAGCCGUUAGCCAGUUAGCCCUUGCGGCCUUGCCCCUUAGGGAGAGAUAGGAGAUUAGCUAUCAGAUAUCAGUAUUAGUGUAUUAUUUGUAAGCAGAUAGAGAUAGA